CCAUUCUACUAAAGAAUAUUAAUAAAUUUCUGUAUAAGAAUCUUAUACCAAUAGUUUAUCUAUUUCAGCGAGAACAUUGUGUACUUAAUUUACAAUGCACACACUAAUUACUCAACACGAAAAAUAUAAUUAUGGCAAUAUACCUUAUGCAACAGAUAAAAGUGCACUAUCUUAUCUGAAUUUGCAAUGGAAUGAGAAACGAGGAAAAAAUCAGUGAUUUUGGACUACCAAUAAACCGAAGUAAAAGGAGAUGACGACUGCGAGUUUCGAUCAGGCCUCCAUAGCCAAGAGCUCGAUUUUGGUUUCGCUGCUGCUUUGGGAUGACGCGGUGAUGGUGAAAAAGCUUCUACUCACCGUAUCUCAACACAAUCCGGCUCAUCUCCACCCGUUCUGCUCAGAGAGGCUACCUGUGUCACUACAAAAAAAAAAAGAGGCAUAAAAUGGCAUCAACAUAAUGGAAGUUCUACAAAAUCGCCGAUAUAUUCAUAAAUUAAGGCAAUUUAUGCGGCUGCCGUAAUUUGCUGGUAGGAAGCAGCGGUUUUUUUGCGCUUUUGGUGGUUUUAAAUGCCAUUACCUGCUCCUGCUACUGCUUCAUUGAUAUAAAAAGUAAAAACUCUUCUAUUUCAUUAAUAAACGUUGUCUAUUUGAUCGAGCCUCCAUCCCAAUGUGAGAAACCAAGUAGUUCCUCCAUCGCAACAUGAGAUCUGCAAUCUCAUCCACGAGGCUCUCUUCUGGCAGCAAGCUCCUCCAUCAACACUUUUCUUCUAGCUGUGAUCUCCUCCAUCAACGUUUCACUUCAAUUAAUGGAUCUGCUGUGUGAUUUUUUCUGCUCCACCGUGUUGUCCUCUGUGAAGCUUCUCCUUCUCCAUCUUCGUUGAAUUAGAUGAUGAAGAUAAAUUGAUUUGGAACUAUUUAGAAGAUGGAAGCUACCUAAAUAAGAACCACUUGAAGAUAGACAUCAUCUUUUCAUUCAUCUAGGCACAAAAUGGCAGCAACAUAAUGGCGGUUCUAUAUUAUUGAACUGUAGGGACUUGUCAUUCAACAAAGGUUUAAAAGGUCCUCUGUCUCCAGAGAUAGGAGACUUAAGCAAUCUAAAUAUUCUCAUCUUGGCUGGUUGUAGCUUCAGUGGCAGCAUUCCAGAUGCAUUGGGAAAUCUUUCACAGCUAUCCUUCUUGUUUGUUCACUCGUAUUGACGAUCCAUAUGAACCACCAAGUAGUUAUGAACUGUGGUGUCCAUGACAAAACAAUUAAGGAGAAUCCAUAAGGCACUGGAAUUACUUGGGUGAUCUUGCUUGUUUACAAAGGACUGUAUGGCGAAGUUGACUCAGUGAAGCGAGAGUUUGCAGCAGCUUCUAGUUACUAUUUACAAGCUAAUUCUUUAUGGCCUUCUAGUGGAAAUCCCCAUCAUCAGCUUGCCUUAUUGGCUUCAUAUUCUGAGGAUGAGCUGGCAGCUACUUAUCAUUAUUUUAGGAGUUUGGUUGUAGAGAGUCGAUUUUCAACUGCCAAAGAUAAUUUGAUUGCUGCAUUUGAGAAGGUGGGUUGAAUUCAAGAAUAAAAGUCUAACAAAAGGGUUUCCAAUAUGUUGAAUGGUGAACAGAUAGGUAUGUAUGUAUGAAUUUGAGUUGUGCUGGCUCUUUGUUCUUGAUUCUCAAAUGGAAAAUUGGGAUGACUUCUCAUUGAUUCUAUAAUAUAAGGUUCGUUACAUCACAUCCAUUGCUAUUAUAUAUGGUGCUUAGUUUUACCUAUAGUAGGUAGUAGUAGAAUUAUUAUAUACUUUCUAUGGAAUUGGGAGUAUUGUCCUAUCAAGGCUUGUCCUAUCAACCUUUUUGGCAAUAAGCUUAAUAAGAUGGAAAAAGAAAGGAGGUCAAGAUACAAUUAUAUAUAUUCUUAGACCAUGCUCAAAUCAGAGUCCUUAGGUUUUUAGACUCUCUAUUGCUCAGUUCAUGAUUUCUUAAAGGACUUUACUAUUUUUAAUUUAAAUAAAAUUGAGCUUCUGUUAUCCACUUUAUGGAGGACAUCUUAUACUCCUGCCUUUGUAAGUCUUUUCUUUAUAAUUAAAUUUCUUUCAGUAAAAAUAUACAGGAAAUAAAUAGUACGUGAUGUGUUCAUUCUGGAGUCCAAUUAUGAGCAGGCAGCUUGUUGUUAUAAUACUCAAAAGUUCAUAUAUUUUAUUUUAUUUUUCCAAAAAUUGGUGUUAUAAGUUUGUGAUGUCAUCCAUUUUACCAUUUUUAACAACCUUUUCUUUUUUCUUACAGAUUAUUUGAUGAAAAUGAUUUAUCUGGUUCUAUACCAAAAAUAUUAGGACUAGUUCAGACACUUGAGGUUCUGUAAGUAAUUGCCUCAUAUUUCAGCUUUUUAAUAAAUUUUCUCGACUCUUUCUACCAAUCUAAUUUUAUUUUUUUCUCUUUAUAUUAUUUGACUAGCUAUAUAUUGUUUCUAAUGACAUCUUUUCAUUGUUAUAAUUUCAAUUUAUAAUUGUUGGCUGGAUAGAAAUUUUCUGACAGAAGAGGUUCCUACAAAUCUCUUGUAAGAGAUGAGUUUGGAUAAUGAAGUUGGAGUGUUGGAGCAAGAAACAAAGAUGUUGUAGCAAGUUUCCGGGAUGAAACUCACACAAGAGACCAAGAAACUAAGGCAGGCUUGUUUGAAAGUUAAUUACAAAAGGAGGAAACUUUUGGCCUCCAAAUCUUAUUUAUCAUCACUUACUUAAGCUAUUUGUCUUGUAUAUUCAUAUUCUAAGUAAUAAAAAUAGCACUUAUUAGAUGGUUUAAA
This is a non-coding RNA of Arachis ipaensis, 2769 nucleotides long. The record is from RefSeq and is a predicted model, not a curated record. NCBI's taxonomy places the organism in Eukaryota, Viridiplantae, Streptophyta, Magnoliopsida, Fabales, Fabaceae.